This 468-nucleotide ribosomal RNA is filed under the name uncultured bacterium. RNAcentral's name for it is "partial 16S ribosomal RNA". It matches the Rfam family "Bacterial small subunit ribosomal RNA", at positions 28 to 507 of the family's 1533-position model. The record is from RNAcentral.
GACGAACGCUGGCGGCGUGCUUAACACAUGCAAGUCGAACGGAAAGGCCCUGCUUUUGUGGGGUGCUCGAGUGGCGAACGGGUGAGUAACACGUGAGUAACCUGCCCUUGACUUUGGGAUAACUUCAGGAAACUGGGGCUAAUACCGGAUAGGAGCUCCUGCUGCAUGGUGGGGGUUGGAAAGUUUCGGCGGUUGGGGAUGGACUCGCGGCUUAUCAGCUUGUUGGUGGGGUAGUGGCUUACCAAGGCUUUGACGGGUAGCCGGCCUGAGAGGGUGACCGGGCACAUGGGGAAUAAGUUACAGCACGGACGGCGCCCGGAGGCAGCAGUGGGGAAUGUGGGACAAUGGACUCGGGGUUGAAUACCACACGCGGCGUGCGGGAUGACGGACUGACGGUUGUAAAAAAAUAUGGACUGUCACGAACCGUUAGUGACGGUAAUGAAUAAAAAAGCAACGCCUAAGUCAGUG